UAGCCCGCGGCGGUCUUUGUCCCGUUGCCUAGCGCCUUUCCGAGCCUCUCCUCUUGGUCGUCUUGCGGUGCUUGGUGUCGUCGGUGAGGCCGCGUGCCAGGAAGGUUCGGAUGCAAGGAGGGCGUUAAAGGACAGGUGUGGCCCGGCCUCCGAGGGGCCUCCUUAAAGAGGCCGGGUCCCCUCCGCUCGCCCCCUUCGCGGCCGCUGGCGCCCGCGUUGGGCCGGCAGAGAGGAGCGGUGAGGGCGCACCUGCGAAGUGUUUUCGGCCACGGUGCCUCCUUGUUCAAAUUCCUCCUAAGUAACCGUUGUGACUCUUCUCCAGGAGGAUGAGAAUUUCCGCUGGGCAAGUCAGGUUGGCCCGGCCCUGCGGUGGUCACCGCCCUGUCGCUCCUGGCUGUCCCGAUGAUAUGGAAGAUGGAGGUGUGCUUUUCUCAAAGAAUUGAUCCAUUCACGACCAUUUAUCAGGUGUCUACAGUGUGUUCGGGCAUGUGCUGCAUUAGAGGGAAAUAAGAAAAGAGCUCCGAGUCCAGGUGUGGUGAGACAAGGUCAUGUUUAAGAGUUUCCAUUGAAGCCAUGUGACUGGAGUGAGUAUAGGAUUCAGUGACCUUUGGUGAUGUGCCUGUGGACUUCACCUUGGAGGAAUGGACUUUUCUGGAUCCCUCUUAGAGAACCUUACGCAGAGAUGCGGUACUGGAGAACUCCAAGAACCUGAGUACGGUUAUCAACUCUUUAAACACACUUUUAUCUCAUGGUUGGAACAAGAAGAGUUGAGGACAAUGGAGAGAGGUAUUCCUCAGGGUGAGUGUGAAGAACAUCCCUCAUCAAUGAGAAGUUCAGUAUGUUUGGAAAUGUAACAAGAGGCUUCUUACAAGGUAUGGUUGACAUAUGACAUAUUAGUUCCAGAUACGACAUAAUGAUCCAGUAUUUGUAUAUAUUUUGAAAUGACUACCACACUAAGUUUAGUUAAAAUCUAUCACCAUAUAUAGCUACAAAGUUGUGGGUUUUUUUUGUGAUGAGAACUUUUAAGAUUUACUCUUAGCAACUUUGAAAUAUAAAGUACAGAGGCACCGGGGUGGCUCAGUCAGUUAAGCAUCUGACUCUUCAUUUCGGCUUGGGUCAUGGUCUCACAGUUUGUGGGUUCAAGCCCCGCAUCAGACUCUGUGCUGACGGCACAAGCCCGCUUGGGAUUCUCUCUCUCUCUACCUCUCCCCCACUCACUCUCUCAAAAGUAAGUAAACUUAAAAAAAAGAAAUAUAAAAUACAGUAUUAUUAACUAUCAUCACCAUGCUGUAUAUUCCAUUCCCAUGACAUUUUAUAACUAGAAGUUUAUACCUUUUGACCCAUUCACCCAUUUCACUCAACCCCCACCCCCUCCUCUGGCAACCACCAAUCUGUUCUCUGGAUGUUUGAACUUUGUUGUGGUUUUUUGUUUCGAUUUUUUGAUUCCACAUACCAGUGAGAUGGUAUUUGUGGUUUUUUUUACUUAUUUCACUUAUCAUAAUGCCUCAAAGACCAUUCAUGUUGUAAAUGGCAAGAGUUCUUUCUUUUUAUGAGUGAAUAGUAUUCCAUUGUGUAUAUGUACCACAUUUUCCUUAUUUCUUCAUCUGUUAGUGAAUACUUAAGUUGUCCCCAUAUCUUGGCUGUUGUAAAUAAUGCUGCAAUGAACUUGAGGGUGCAUGUAUCUUUAUCAGUUAGUGUUUUUGAUUUAUUUGGAUAAAUUCCCAGAAGUUGAAUUGUUGGGUCAUAUGAGAAUUCUUUUUUUUUUUUUUUUCUUUAACGUUUAUUUUUGAGAGAGAGAAUACAAGCAUGGGAGGGGCAGAGAGAGAGAGAGAGAAGGGGACAGAGGAUCUGGAGCGGGCUCUACACUGGCAGCUGUGAACCAAACAUGGGCUCGAAAUCACAAACCACGAGAUCAUGACCUGAGUUGAAGUCAGCUGCUCAACCAACUGAGCCACCCAGUUGCCCCAAUGACCAUUCGAUCGUUCGUUCUUUCUAUCUAUCUAUCUAUCAACAUGUAGAAUCAUCACACAAGUCUGUUCACUUUAUGAAAAUCAUGGUAUACAUUUAAGAGUUUUUGUAGUUUCCUUUAUUAUUUACUUUACAUCCAAGUUAGUUAGCAUAUGGUGCAAUAAUGAUUUCAGGAGUAGACUCCUUAAUGCCCCUUACCCAUUUAGCCCAUGCUCCCUCCCUGUUUUUAUAUUAUUUUUGCUUCCCUUCUCUUAUGUUCAUCUGUUUUGUAUCUUAAAGUCCUCAUAUGAGUGAAGUCAUAUGAUUUUUGUCUUUCUCUGACUAAUUUCACUUAGCAUAAUACCCUCUAGUUCCAUCCACGCAGUUACAAAUGGAAUGAUAGUUCUAUUUAAAUUGUUCGAGGCCAUAUGGUAUAAGUAGGUUUAAACCUGUCCUGAGUUGGUGGAUGCUCCAUAUCUCAUUGAACCAGUCUCUUCGUCCUGAGAAUAGGUUAGUUCAGUUAAAGAUUUGUGUCUUAUUUCAGGAGGCAGUGAUACAGGUGGGUUACCCAAGUUAGGCCUAUAUGGUACAAACAGUUGGGUAUUUAAUAAGAAACAUUUCUGUGGAAACAAAAGAAAAUAAAAAAGGUUAAUGGUUGGAGUAGAUUGUAAUCCCAGUUUUUGAGUCCUGAAGGUAGCCAGUCAAGAUUUCUAGAUGCCAGACUUGACGCACGUUCAGAUGCACUGAGGGCAGGCAGUAUAUAAGCUGAUGGAUUUUACUUGUUUGCAAUUUGAGGGUCUCUGGUGAUCGGAGUGGCCCACAUGGCAGCAGGUAUGAAGAUGGCCCAGCUGCUGUGGUCAUUUCUCUUUUUUAUCAGGUUAUCUCACCUUAGCUGAUAUGGCUUUGUGCCAAGGGCAGUUUUAUUUCUCAAUGAUUCCAAGUUAUAAGGGUAGGGGAAAAAGUUGGAAAUGUUCGUUUGGAGAAUUGUAGCCAGAUCCUGGAGGAAACAAAAAGAAUUUAGUAUCCGGUCUAGUUUACAGAUAGGAAACAAAGCCUUAAAGACAAUUAACAACACUAGAAUUUGAUAUCCACAGAGGUGUAUUACUGAAAUGCAAUUUUUUCUCUAUAAACAGUUACCCCCAUUUGUAUCAGAUAAUUAAAACAACACUAAUUUAUUUGUGAAAUAAGUUUUGUCUCAUUAAAUUUGGCUUGGUUAUUUAAGUGCAGCAAGAAUACUGAUUGACCAUAUAGGCUCCUUUAAGUCUGCUUUGAUGGAACUUUUGAGAGAGCAGGGGAGGGGCAGAGAGAGAGGGAGAGAGAACAUCCCAAGCAGGCUCCACACUGUCAGCACAGAGCUCUGUGUAGGACUCGAACCCACAAGCCGUGAGAUCAUGACCUGAGCUGAAAUCAAGAGUCAGAUGCUUAACCAACUGAGCUACCCAGGUACCCUGAGAUUUAACUUUUAAAAGCCUCUUUAGGCUCAGAAGCCAAGGCAGGAACUUGCCAUAGACUUGGCUUGCAAUACCUAUAGGUUUGGGUGAAUUCCUCUCUUCGUGAGAUCCCCCAACUAUGGUGAAGUUCCUUUGCUUGCCAGAAAGUGAUCUUCCUUACUCACCUGGAAGACUGCUGGGAGCCUUGUAGGCAAGGUACCAGGCCAGUUCUCCCAAGGGGCUUUUUUGUUUUGUUUAAAAAAGUUUUUUUAAUGUUUAUUUAUUUUUAGAGAGAGACGGAGACAGAGCAUGAGUGAGGGAGGGACAGAGAGAGUGAGGGAGACACAGAAUCCGAAGCAGGCUCUAGGCCCUGAGCUGUCAGCACAGAGCCCAACACAGGGCUCAAAUCAUGGACCGUGAGGUCAUGACCUGAGCCAAAGUCGGAUGCUUAACUGACUUAACCACCCAGGUGCCCCUGCGAGGGGCUUUAUUGGUUCCAUAAAGUCCAUCUUAAUUCCUUAAAGCUGUCUGGUAACUGAAUCUAUGAGUAUCAUUCUCAAAUAUGACUUUCUACUUAAAGCCUUGGUGAUAAUAACCAGUGUUUCCAAUUGUGUCCCAUUAUGUGCAAGUGGAAUAGAUUCUUAACGAACCUACGCAAAUAAGUAUAUUGCCCUGAAAAUAAAAGUGCUCACUGAGAGUUUCCAAAUUCUGGACAAAUCACUUAUGGAGAAAAAAGGUAAAUAUUUCAUCCUUGUUCACAAAGGUAUGUAUCUUACCAAGUUGCUGAUAGGUUAAGAGAAAAAGGUUUUAUUAAAUCUGGAAAAAUGAAAACGUGAAGGAACUAUAACUGUUUUACAUAAAAUGUCAUAAAAAUUAUAAUUACACUCACAGUUCAUUCAAUGCCUCAUGUUUUUACUGUUUGCCUUGAAUCCACUUUUUCCAUUAAUUCUAUAAAUUUUUACCCAGUUCAGUUUUAGGAUCUUACAGUUAUUAGAAAUCUGUACUUGUCAAAAAUUCCUUUUCAUGAAUCUCCUUGAAAAUGACCACUUUUAUAGACACUUGCAAAGCAGUGCAGUAAAACAGUAACUAUGUAUAAAUGAAAGAAGACUUUAAACAUUGCCAUUUUUAAGGUCAGAUGAAAGAGUUGAUUAAAUUUAUCA
Molecule: long non-coding RNA, 4537 nt
Organism: Panthera uncia (snow leopard)
Lineage: Eukaryota; Metazoa; Chordata; Mammalia; Carnivora; Felidae
Exons: 4
Source: RefSeq, a predicted model, not a curated record